UGGGGAAUCUUCCGCAAUGGACGAAAGUCUGACGGAGCAACGCCGCGUGAGUGAAGAAGGUUUUCGGAUCGUAAAACUCUGUCUUUUGGGGCGAACGUGAGUAUGGUGAACAAUCAUAGUCAGUGACGGUACCAAAGGAGGAAGCCACGGCUAACUACGUGCCAGCAGCCGCGGUAAUACGUAGGUGGCAAGCGUUGUCCGGAAUUAUUGGGCGUAAAGAGCGCGUAGGCGGGAUAGUCAGUCUGUUGUAAAAGUGCGGGGCUCAACCCCGUGAUGGCAAUGGAAACAGCUAUUCUUGAGUGCAGGAGAGGAAAGUGGAAUUCCCAGUGUAGCGGUGAAAUGCGUAGAUAUUGGGAGGAACACCAGUGGCGAAGGCGACUUUCUGGACUGUGUCUGACGCUGAGGCGCGAAAGCCAGGGGAGCGAACGGGAUUAGAUACCCCGGUAGUCCUGGCCGUAAACGAUGGGUACUAGGUGUGGGAGGUAUCGACCCCUUCCGUGCCGGAGUUAACGCAAUAAGUACCCCGCCUGGGGAGUACGGUCGCAAGACUGAAAC
Molecule: ribosomal RNA, 555 nt
Filed under: uncultured bacterium
Lineage: Bacteria
Description: partial 16S ribosomal RNA
Rfam family: Bacterial small subunit ribosomal RNA
Source: RNAcentral